UCCUAACUCUGGCGGCGUGCUUAACACAUGCAAGUCGAACGGAAAGGCCCUGCUUUUGUGGGGUGCUCGAGUGGCGAACGGGUGAGUAACACGUGAGUAACCUGCCCUUGACUUUGGGAUAACUUCAGGAAACUGGGGCUAAUACCGGAUAGGAGCUCCUGCUGCAUGGUGGGGGUUGGAAAGUUUCGGCGGUUGGGGAUGGACUCGCGGCUUAUCAGCUUGUUGGUGGGGUAGUGGCUUACCAAGGCUUUGACGGGUAGCCGGCCUGAGAGGGUGACCGGCCACAUUGGGACUGAGAUACGGCCCAGACUCCUACGGGAGGCAGCAGUGGGGAAUAUUGCACAAUGGGCGGAAGCCUGAUGCAGCAACGCCGCGUGCGGGAUGACGGCCUUCGGGUUGUAAACCGCUUUCGCCUGUGACGAAGCGUGAGUGACGGUAAUGGGUAAAGAAGCACCGGCUAACUACGUG
Molecule: ribosomal RNA, 468 nt
Filed under: uncultured bacterium
Lineage: Bacteria
Description: partial 16S ribosomal RNA
Rfam family: Bacterial small subunit ribosomal RNA
Source: RNAcentral